UGGGGAAUAUUGGACAAUGGGCGCAAGCCUGAUCCAGCCAUGCCGCGUGUGUGAAGAAGGCCUUCGGGUUGUAAAGCACUUUCGGACGGAACGAAAUCGCGUGGGCGAAUAUCCCGCGUGGAUGACGGUACCGUAAGAAGAAGCACCGGCUAACUACGUGCCAGCAGCCGCGGUAAUACGUAGGGUGCAAGCGUUAAUCGGAAUUACUGGGCGUAAAGGGUGCGCAGGCGGCCACGCAAGUCGAGUGUGAAAGCCCCGGGCUUAACUUGGGAAUUGCGUUCGAAACUACGUGGCUGGAGUGUGGCAGAGGGAGGUGGAAUUCCACGUGUAGCGGUGAAAUGCGUAGAGAUGUGGAGGAACACCAAUGGCGAAGGCAGCCUCCUGGGCUAACACUGACGCUCAUGCACGAAAGCGUGGGGAGCAAACAGGAUUAGAUACCCUUGUAGUCCCUGAGCGGGCUGGCAAGGCGCAU
This 472-nucleotide ribosomal RNA is filed under the name uncultured bacterium. RNAcentral describes it as "bacterial SSU rRNA". It matches the Rfam family "Bacterial small subunit ribosomal RNA", at positions 355 to 825 of the family's 1533-position model. The record is from RNAcentral.